This 253-nucleotide ribosomal RNA is filed under the name uncultured bacterium. RNAcentral describes it as "partial 16S ribosomal RNA". It matches the Rfam family "Bacterial small subunit ribosomal RNA", at positions 524 to 776 of the family's 1533-position model. The record is from RNAcentral.
UACGAAGGGAGCUAGCGUUGUUCGGAAUCACUGGGCGUAAAGCGCACGUAGGCGGAUGUGUCAGUCAGGGGUGAAAUCCUGGAGCUCAACUCCAGAACUGCCUUUGAUACUGGGGAUCUCGAGUCCGGAAGAGGUGAGUGGAACUCCGAGUGUAGAGGUGAAAUUCGUAGAUAUUCGGAAGAACACCAGUGGCGAAGGCGGCUCACUGGUCCGGUACUGACGCUGAGGUGCGAAAGCGUGGGGAGCAAACAGG